This is a non-coding RNA of Microcebus murinus (gray mouse lemur), 5474 nucleotides long. Lineage: Eukaryota; Metazoa; Chordata; Mammalia; Primates; Cheirogaleidae. The record is from RefSeq and is a predicted model, not a curated record.
GGGACAGAUAAUUUUAAAAGUAAACUUUAUACAAAAUCUUGUGCCAUCUUGUCAUUCACAAAAUGCAAAUGACAACUCAACACCUUUAAUAAGAUAUGUUGAUCCUUGUUUUUUAUUUUAAACGCCCUGCCUCAAAAACCACCUUUUUUCAUUGAUAGUUUUUGGGUGUGCAGGUCUAUGAAUUUUAACACAUGUAUGAAUUUUUGUAAUUAUCACUACAAAAAAUUAAGUUACAGAACAGUUCCAUCACCCCAAGAAACUCAUUUAUAGUCACACCCCCCUCCCCCGCCCCAUUGGUCUGUUCUCCAUCCUAUGGUUUUGCCUUUUCAAGACUCUCAUAUACAUGGAAUCAUAUAGAAUGUAAUUUUUUGAGACUGGCUUCUUCUCAGUGUAACGCCUUUGAGAUUCCUCCCAUUGCUACGCAUGUCAAAGUUUAUCCCUUUUUGGUGCUGCAAAGUAUUCCAUCAUGUGGCUGUGUGACAGUUUGUUUAUGCAGUCCUCUGUUUUUAGUUUGGGGCGAUUAUGAAAGAGUUGCUAAAAGCAUUUGUGGAUAGGUUUUGCGUGAACACCAGACUGCAUUUCUCUAGGGGUGAUACUCAAGAGCAGGGCUGCUGGGUUGUAGGGUGUGUGUUGAUGCUUCUUUGUAAGCAGAGGACUCAAUACUCCUACAACAUGUUGAGUGGUGUCCCUCCAAAAUUCAUGUCCACCAGGAACCUCAACACUGUGACCUUAUUGAGCAAUAGGGUCUUUGUAGAAGUAAUUUAGUCAAGGAUAUUGAGAUGAAAUCAUCUUGGAUUUAGGGUGGCCCCUAAAUCUGAUGACUAGUGUCCUCUUAAGAAGAGGAGAGGACAUGGACACAAUUAAGAUACAGAACAGUUCCCAUGGGAAGAAGGUGAUGGAAAGACAGAGACAGAGAUUGGAGUGAUGCAGCCACAAGCCAGGGGACACCAGGAGCCCCCAGAAGCUGGAGAGGCAGGGGAGAAUCAUCCCACAGAGCCUUUGGAGGGGACCUGGUCCUGCCAACACCUUGAUUUCAGAUGUCUAGCCUCCAGCACUGACAGAGAAUAAAUUUCUGUUGUCUCAAGCCAUCCAGUAUGGUAAUUCAUUAUGGCAGCCCCAGGAAACGAGUACAACUCUCCCUGCUUUUAAGGACCCCUUUCUUCCAUUCUUCAGGUCAAGAUGAAACUCUCCAGUUCCUGGAGUCAGAAGAGCUGGCCUUCCCAGAGGCCUUACUGUCCUGUACAUUCAUGAAUAAAGGCAACGAGGCCUUUUUUUGUUCUCCGUUAUUAAAUGUAUGCAGGCAGAAUAAAGGUUAGAAAACUCAAAAAGAACACAUUUAAUGUGGAGUUUCAGACCAGCCAAUGGUGGGCAUUUGUCCUUUUCCAUUCUCUACCCACCCCAAAGGUCACAGAAAAUUCAAAACAACAGACAGAAGCCUGACGACAACAAUACGUCCGAGAGACAGGGGACAGGAAUACCUCAGGGCAAGGCUCAUCGGUGAAGUUCAACAUGAAAAGCCACAGAUAAACGCACCUGGGGAAAAUGAGAAUAGGCAGAUGAAAGAGUGGAGGCUGCCUGGGAAAGUGGCGAGGCGGAGAUCUUAGGGGAAAAGCGGAUAACAAAGUGGCUAUGAAUUCACAGCGUGAUCCCUUUGAGGGAAAGGACACUUCUAUUCCAGGGUUUGUGUCUAGAAAGAGCUCCAGCAAACCAGCAGGGGGCUGAGAACCAUUUCGUGCAAUGACCCCAAGUCCUACAUAUGGUAAACCCUGGCUCAUGCGGGUGACAUAAAAGGUGAGGAAGAAGGUUCAAGAGACAGUAAUCAAAGUGACAUGGUCAGUGACUGAUGAGAAAAAGAUUCUGUUUGGAAAAACAACGCUCUAAUCAGGUGCUGUAGGUCAUGGCAACUAAUUAAGAGGACAGAAAAGUACAUUAAAGCAAUGUGGAGAGUCACAAAUGCUAUGACUCAAUUCAUUUACUAAAAAGGCUGUAAGGGCACAAAAUUGCUUCUAAGCUACGGUUCCCAGGGCAGCUGCAACAAGGCUCCUUUCAUAAGCUUGGUCUAAUUUCAGUGCAGAGUAGCCUCAAUCCAAAUUCUUCCUCUAGGCUGCCACCUCCUUUGGACACACAGACUGUCUCAUGAGACAAGGCCAACACUUCCCAUGAGCACGUGUGGAGACUGGCACAGGGAUGGUGUACGGUUUCCCUGCAGUAUGAUCAAUAAUGCUUCCUAAAAUAAGUCUCAGAAGCCAAGCUUAAAAUAGUUUCAAUUUCUCCCAGUUCUUUCUUAUUUCAAUUCACAGGGUGGUCUCUGGGAACUAGAACUGCUGGUUUUCUGUAAAGUUGACAAAUUGAUAUUGAACCUGGAUGUGCUCACAGGCUUGCACCGGGCCAGCCUGCAAUAGCCUCUGAGUUUGGCAUUUGCUAUGUUGAGGUGACUUUGGUCUCUACCCUUUCCUAAACCGUUUUUGUGUGUGUGUGUGUGUGUGCCUAAACAAAGAAUCCUUUGCACAAAGAGGCAGAGUUCCCGACACAGAAAAAUGACAGGCACUUCCUUUCCACUGGGAAGCCACUAACUCAGCCUUGAGGGAAGAGAAUAAAAUAUGGGGACAGAUGGCUUGCUGAGGCCAGCAUGGUGGGGCUGCCACACUGGGCUGUCGAAAGACAAUGAGGCCGGCAGCCUUGCUCUCUAGAGGCCAGAGAGUUCCCUUCUCUUGUUCCCCAAACAAGCGUCCUGAGGUCAUCACGGCUUGUGUCUCCUUCCAGCUCAUUCCUGGCGAGCCUUUCUGGGCAAAAACAAUGGAAUGGGCACCAGCCCCAAACCACUUAAGCAUCAUGGCAGAUUGCAUCUAUUGUCAGAAAAAGCAAAAUAAAGGAACAAAUUGUUACAUUUUCCUGGUAGGUUGUGUUUUGUUUGGUUUUCCUUUCUACGUGAAUUGGUUGUAAAGUCGGGGAACUACGCAAGGCCUCCUGGCUGAGCUCCACAGACCUCCCGACCAACUCAAGGCAGCCGUCCGAAGGCUCCAGAAGGAGCUCUCCAGGCAUGGGUGAGACAGACUUGGGCCAGCAGAUGGGGAGAGGGUUGGCUUCCAGAGCUCUUCCCAAGGCUUUGGUAUAAUCGGGUCCCAGGCUCCUGGAAGGGCUUGUCAUUUCUACUUUUCCUCAGCAGAAAGGAACCUGCUGCCAUGGCCCUGCCUUGAUGGACCAGCUCUCACAUGCGCUCUUGUGAAUUGACUUUGGGCUAUCUGUGAUGUCAUUUUUAAAUAACAACAUUUUCUUUUCUCUUUUAUCCUUAUCAUAAUCAUAAUACUUCUUUAUCAUGGAAAGAAUAAGAAUCUUUAGUAUGGGAUCUCAUCUGUAAAGUGAGAGCAGUAUCAGCACCUCCAUCACUGGGCAGCAGAGAGGAUUCAGUGACAUAAAGCAGCACUGAAAAAAGAGAAGAUGGAAAACUUCUGCUUCAUGGCUACCAACAUGAAAAAUGAAAGAUCCAUUGUGUGACCUUGAGACCAAUCCGAAAGCCAGAUGGAUGAGCAAUUGCUGCUGCUGAAUGUGGAAUUUGGAGGAGGCCGAAUGGGGAGGAAGGCUGCUUGAGCUGGGGUGAGGCUGUCUGAUUCAGUGGCCUCAGGAGCGAGGCCCAGGGGUCUACAGAGCAGAGCCGGACAGAGGCUGGGGGUGAGGAUCUGGGGCAAAAACACACAUAGGGCAUCUCCAGUGUAACAAGGCGGCACGACAUGGGCUGGGGCAAGUUGAGUGUCAGGACAGACAAGGAACAGGCUCCAUGGGCAGUCCCCAAGUCAGCACGCUGAGGAGGAGGUGGCGUGGCUACCACAGCUGGUAUUGCUCCCAGAGGAAGCAGGCUGUGUGCACAAGGGCUACACAGAGUGCCCAGGGGCUCAGUGGUUUCUCUUGCAGGUCCACCUAAAUCUCAAAGGGGUCUGGUCCUCAGCAUGGGCGUGGAUCCUAACUCUCAGGUGGAUUACCUGACAUUUUAAAUUUCUAGAAGAGUAGUGAAAAGGCUAAGUUCCUAGGAGAGUAGUGAAAAGAACUUAGCAUCUGCUACACGGGAUAUAAGAUAAUACCUUAUAACCAUGUGAAUUCUGGGGACUAUCUGAACUGAGCAGGAUAAACCAGAGAUUACUGUGGUCCCACCACCCUAUAAGAAUCACAGCGAGGCCACAUGUCCUCUCUGCAGCUCUUCAAAAGGAGAGCUAUUCUGAAUUAACUCAGGGGGACAGAGGCAUGCAGAAAAAGAGAAAUCAAAGGAAUCAGUUUGAAACAACUAAAAGAUGUUUUAAAAAAAUUUCCCCUUAUAUUUUCAUAUUGUGCCAGAAAAAGCAACUCAGGUACCUGACACUUUUCCUGAGAGUCCACAGCUACAUCAAAAUGGUUAAGCCCACUUUAAUAUCCAGUGACCAGCAACUAUUUCAAGAAGUCCACCAAAGUAUGGGGUACAAGGAGCCAGAAAAAAUCAUAUUGGGAAGGAUACUUCACAACAUGUUAAAAAUAGCAUACUGUACAAUUCAAUUUUAGAGGAAUUUGUAAAAAAAAAUUAUUAAUAAUUUGCAACGUGAACCAAAUUGCUAAUAGCAGUCAUCUCUGAACUGUGGGGUUGCUACUGGUUUCUUUUUUCUUUUUUGAUACUUUUAGGUUUGUAUUUUUCAAAUUUUAAUAAUCAUUAUGAAUUUUCCAAUCUGAAAAAAGUCAUUAUUUUAUAAAGGUUCAAGUUUAAACACUGUGUGACACUGUUUUAGACACUGUGGUUUCAAUGAAGUUGGCCAGCAAAGUACCUCUGAUUUUAGGCCACUGACAAGAGGAUGGUCCUAAACGUUUCCCCUGGGAUCACCACUUCAAAGGGAUCACAGUACCUCUGCCAGCUGGAUUGUUCUCUACUCUAGAAAAUUCCAGGUACUCUGGAAGUUCAAACAAAGUACUUGGCUGAAAUUUAAUAAAAGUUUAAAUGCUUCAUGAGGCAAGUAUUUUGCAGGGGCAUCCCUUGAUUUUUAGGUUGGAUGUACGAGUUGUACACGUGUAUACUGCAUAUGUGAACAUAAGCAUAGUCCUGCUAAUACAUACAGUAUGCACACAUGUAUCUGACUGGAUUCGCUUUUCUAAGUAAACAUUAAUAGUCACUGAGAAGAUGCAGGCUCCAUCCCAUUGUCAGAAACCAAAUCCUGGAGUCCUAAGUGCCCCACCACCCUCUCUACUUACAGGCCAACGGCCCCAGGCCACAGAGAUUUCUGCACAGAGGCCCAUGGAAAGUACAUAAAAAUGAGAAGAAAGAAAAGCUAGACAAAAAAAUAAUGACAGGGAGAAGUCCCAGGGAAAUGGCCCUCAAAAUCCAAAGGCCAGCCAUAUCUCUGAGGUCCCAGGCACAGGUCUUGCUGCUGGCCCGGGUCGCACGAGGGGCCUUGAGAAGUAGUGCGGAUAUCAGAGCCCAGGAGGCAAGCACAGUGUGUAAUGGGGGUGGGGUGGGGACU